RNAcentral lists this ribosomal RNA (385 nucleotides) under uncultured bacterium. RNAcentral describes it as "bacterial SSU rRNA". It matches the Rfam family "Bacterial small subunit ribosomal RNA", at positions 28 to 416 of the family's 1533-position model. The record is from RNAcentral.
GAUGAACGCUAGCGGCAGGCUUAACACAUGCAAGUCGAGGGGUAGAGUUCUUCGGAACUUGAGACCGGCGCACGGGUGCGUAACGCGUAUGCAAUCUACCUUUUACAGAGGGAUAGCCCAGAGAAAUUUGGAUUAAUACCUCAUAGUAUUAUGACUCGGCAUCGAGCUAUAAUUAAAGUCACAAACGGUAAAGAUGAGCAUGCGUCCCAUUAGCUAGUUGGUAAGGUAACGGCUUACCAAGGCUACGAUGGGUAGGGGUCCUGAGAGGGAGAUCCCCCACACUGGUACUGAGACACGGACCAGACUCCUACGGGAGGCAGCAGUGAGGAAUAUUGGACAAUGGGCGCAAGCCUGAUCCAGCCAUGCCGCGUGCAGGAUGACGGUC